GUAUUCAUUUUCUUCUUUCUCUAGUCUUCUGGUCUUUUCGGAGCUCCCAGCCAUGGAAAGGAGCAAAAGGCUGAGCCAGAUUAGAUCCACUCCAUCUCAAGACAAGCCCGAGUCUCCCCUCGGUUUGCUACUUUGUGGUCCUCACCUCCACACGCACCUCGUGGCUGGGAUGAUGCUUGGAUCCCGGCCGGUGAACACGUAGCAGGGCCCUAAUAGCAGCUGCAUGAUGGAGAACGCGAGGUCGUCGAACUCGACGAUGCCUUUCCCGUCAGCGUCCAUGGAGGCGAUGGAGUGGAUCUCGUUCCCUUAGCUCCUGCGCAAUUUUGGGGAUCCUGGGAGGGUUAUCCGUCCCCAACCGUCGAGCUGCAGGCGUCGUUGCUGUUCCCAAGCGAGGCACCUGACGCAUCUUCUUCAUCCUCUACAGUAGCAGCCCGGCUUUGGCGUUGCAUUCUUCCACCUGCAAUAUACUUUAAGGUACUUCUUGUUAGUGACAAAUGUUACCGUUUCUGUUUUUUGUACUAUCAUGCAUACUUGGUGUGAUUUCCAUCCAGAUUGACUUCUUGUCCAUGUACCAAAUGAAGAUAGUAAGUUUGGACGCCUAACGCCGCUUAAUGCAAAAUUUUAAUCAGUUUAUGUCCCCUCCACUUUUUUCGGGCUUGGGACUGGAAUAGGUAGUGUUCGACCCCCUACACCCAUUAAUUUUCAGCAAAUUAAGGAAAUAAUUAUUGUCUUUAUGUUUUAGUAAUUGAAUAGUAAAACUAGGUCUGAUUGCUACAUAUAAUAGACAAUGAUGCUAGGAUCCUCUCACCAUUGAAUUGUACUUUGUAAUAAGCUUGAAAUAUCAGAUGAUAUAGAGUGUUGAUGCUUGGCAUUCUUGAACUAUUUCCGUCAAAUGUUGAUGCAUGUUUCCAGUAAUUAUGCAGAGUAGUAGACCAUAUCCGUCCUAUCAUAUCUUGUUAGCAUAGAUAAUUCAGUUAUUAUUUUGAAGAUAGUUUGCAGUGUACUAUUUUUUCAGGUAUUUAUGGAUAUAUAAAAGGCCGGUAGCAUCCGUCUAGUUCACGGCGACGGACAUGGCCUCUGCACCGGCGAACAUUCAAGCCAAUACCCAUCUAGUUCAUAUGCAUGCAAGUAGAGCCACAUUUAAUAAAUCUUUGUUUCUGUCUGACCAAAUCCUUUGGUUUGUAUUGAUCAGUGUAUACAUGUCCUUGCCCUGAGUGCAUGUACCACUCUUAUAUUGUAAAUUCCCAAAGAGACAAUUGAUGACGGCACCUUAGAUUACAAAUUGAUAAUGUACAAUUAGUUAAGUGAAAUCGGUUCUGGCUCUCCAUGUUUCAUGGGGUGAAGCACAAUAUGUGUAAAGCCCUAUCGAGUUUUACCAUCUGAGCCACUUAGUACUGCGAUACAGUGGAGAUUCCAGCAAUCCUACAGUCCGUGGAUACUGCUAUUCAGUAGGUUAAUAGCGUGCCCCCCUUUUUAAAAAACCAUUUUAUUUGUUUUUAGUAACUUUAUUCCUUUUUGUAAUAUAUUUUGAGCUCUUCUUUAGAUAGCUAAUUCUUUGGUCUCAUUUAUUUGCUGUUUCUAUGAGUGUUUGUCCUCAUAUUUAGGUGAAAAUCCGAGUUGAAGAGGCGUGGGUCUAUCAUAAGGACCUGGUGAUUUUCAGGAAUGGAUAUGCGGAUCAUACAUGUUACGAAUCUACAUAACCUACCGAAUGCAUAUGUGGCAUUGUAGCACCAAGCUGUUGGUGCAUGUCCGUUCAAACAUAAAAAAAAGAACCUUCUUUCUUAGCUGAGAAUACCUCGUCAUUGGUACCAUCAAUGCUAAAAUGGUCAUGAUUUUUGUCAUGUCCUGCCAGUAAGGUAAGGUAGAAUACCAUAUAGUUUAAAAUAUAAAAUUGGACAUUUGUUUUUCUUAAAACAAAAAUUUAAAGUUUUGACAUGUGUAAAUUAUUUUUGCAGGUACAUGCAUUUAUUGGGUCCAAUAAUCACCCUGGUUAUCGAUAAACGAUUAGAAACAUUGGAUUUGGGGUAUUGCAAAAAUAGUUUAAAGUUCUCACCUUUGAUACUUGAAUAAAAUUGGAAGUGACAGUCAUGAUUGUUUUUUGUGCCAAACUUCCAUUUACCAUAUUUGCUAAAAUAUAUCCCCGUAGAGUGAUCCCUACCUUCUCACCACUGAAAGAAUUUGACCAUGUAAAAGUAAUGUAAAAAGUCAUACAUAAUUCUGAAAUUGCUUACAUAAUUGAAAUAACUUACAAUAGCAAAAGGACGUGCAUCUCGCAGAUGUUUGAAGUUUGCUCUCUGCUUGUCCGUCUGUUCUUCUGUACUUCCUCAAUUGGUUUCAUCAUGGUGAUACAUGCUGGAGAUAAUUUGAUGCACAUAUUACUUACUGGAGGUGGUGUGAUUGCUUGACGGAGCCGAUAACAGUCGAGGAGAGUCAACAGAGGAAACUGGGGCACUUGCAACUAUUGGAGGAAGGUGAUGUCCAAGUGCCGAUCGCUGGAGGAAGACGAUGACGAAGGUGGGCUCUGAAGGUGGGAUCCGACUUGUGGGGCGUGCUGAAACUGACUUGAUGCUAGCUUGUCAGCUAGUUUCAUCGCCCUGGCACCAUUGCUAACGUGAUUGCCAGAGUUCAUAAAUCACAACAUUACCUUCUCGCGGUAUCGCCUCGCCCUGAUUGCUCAAGGUAGUAGCCGCCUGCCUGGGACAACAAAUCAAUCUAAAGUUAGACUUUGUUCCCUUGGUGUUUUGGCAGCAAAAUAUCAUCAACCUCUUGGUUGUGAUGCUUUAAUUGUAAGUUACACUGCAAUUGGCUGCUUCCGCCCUGGCACCAUUUUUUUUUCCUUCUGUGUUUUCUCUUUUUUUCUUUUGGGCGUGCCUGUGCUGCUUCCGCCCCAGCACCUAUCGUGGGUUGUAUCGAUGUUGUUGCUUUGUAAUACAAAGCGGGGGGAAACCCUUUUUCGGCAAUUGUAAGUUACACUGCAUAUGUAGAGGCAACCUUCCAUUAUUAAUCUAUAAUUAUAAUAGUAACUUUGCACAUA
Long non-coding RNA from Triticum aestivum (bread wheat), 3034 nucleotides. RefSeq lists it as uncharacterized. The transcript has 3 exons. NCBI's taxonomy places the organism in Eukaryota, Viridiplantae, Streptophyta, Magnoliopsida, Poales, Poaceae. The record is from RefSeq and is a predicted model, not a curated record.